GUGCCAGCAGCCGCGGUAAUACGUAGGUGGCAAGCGUUGUCCGGAUUUAUUGGGUUUAAAGGGUGCGUAGGCGGUCCCAUAAGUCAGUGGUGAAAUACUCUAGCUUAACUAUAGGGGUGCCAUUGAUACUGCGGGACUUGAGUGGAGUUGAAGUGGGCGGAAUUGACGGUGUAGCGGUGAAAUGCUUAGAUAUCGUCAAGAACACCGAUAGUGAAGACAGCUCACUAAGCUCAAACUGACGCUGAGGCACGAAAGUGUGGGGAUCAAACAGGAUUAGAUACCCUUGUAGUCC
Molecule: ribosomal RNA, 292 nt
Filed under: uncultured bacterium
Lineage: Bacteria
Description: partial 16S ribosomal RNA
Rfam family: Bacterial small subunit ribosomal RNA
Source: RNAcentral